RNAcentral lists this ribosomal RNA (207 nucleotides) under uncultured bacterium. RNAcentral describes it as "partial 16S ribosomal RNA". It matches the Rfam family "Bacterial small subunit ribosomal RNA", at positions 568 to 774 of the family's 1533-position model. The record is from RNAcentral.
UAAGUAGGUGGUUUAUUAAGUUUUAAAUAAAAUACUAAAAUUUAAUUUAGAGCUAUUUAAAAUACUAUUAAACUAGGGUUAAAUUGGAGAUGACUGAACAUUAAGUGUAAAAGUGAAAUUUGUUAAUAUUUAAAGGACAUUCAAUAAGCGAAAGCUGUUAUCUAAAUUAAUACUGACACUGAGUUACGAAAGCAUAGGGAUUGAACG